GUCGAAGUUGUUUUCCAUUCAGUCCUCAAAUUUAACAUUCACUGAGGGCUCCAUCCUAGGAACCACAGUAAGUGACAGCCUUUGUUUUAAUUGGGAUUAUUUUUUUGAUUCUCAAAAUGAGGGGUAUGGGACCAGAUGACCUGUUAGCUCCCUUCCAGGCUCUGAAAUGUUAAAGUUCUGUAAUUGUGUGAUUCUGUGAUAUUAUGAGUCACCCAGGUGAAUUAACGCUUUUCUGAGAGGUAGCCAGCCUCGUCUCCCCCAAGGGGAGGUGAAUGAGCUCUGUCUCAGACACAGAUGCUUCUGGGACACACCCUACCAGUGUGACUGCCACUUCUCUGGGCCCUGAAGGAACCAAUAAAAAGCCUUACUCUGGGUGAACAUUUGCUCACUGAGAACACUGCUCACUUGGGCUCUUCACAGGGUCACAGUAUGUUUAUAACAAUGAUGAUGAUUUCUGCUUUGUGCAAGGAAUUUUUCUUUUGGUUCGAGCUGCUUGAGAAGCUGGCUGUGGUUUCUAUCAGCCCCAGAUCUCACAUGGAAUAGUACCAUGGCCUCUAGCAGAAUGACACACAAUAGCUGCAGUAACCGCCUCACCCAUCUCUGGAGACUGGGCAGGGUUUUCAUAGCACUGGGCUGCAGCCACGGUCUAUUUUAUCAUAGCACCUUAGAUAGGGAUCAGUAAGAUAGAUGCACAUCAAGACUGAGAAAGUUUAAAGGUUUGAUUAUCCUACAGUCCUUGGGGAGAGCACAAGUCACCUUGCAGGGCCAAAAGGGGAAGCAGCAGGAUCAGUCAAGAGGCCGAGGGAGCUAGGGGGACCUAUAGCAUCCACAGCCAGAUUGCAUGGUCCCCUGGUCCUCUGUGUAUCUGGACCUGGCACACUAAUGAAGGGAGAUAGACACUGGAGAGUCGGAGGUCAGCUCCGGUGGUACAGCUACACAGAACCAAUGCACACACAGUCCCGUCUGGGAAGACAGCUUUGCAGAGCAAGGGCCCGCUGAGCAGGCUUCCCUCCUGCAAGGGAAGAGUCGGCUACUGAUGUGUUAAGAUUCGAUUAACGCAGGAAAUAAACAUGUAAUAAAUAAUAACAGUGUAAU
Molecule: long non-coding RNA, 1095 nt
Filed under: Capra hircus (goat)
Lineage: Eukaryota; Metazoa; Chordata; Mammalia; Artiodactyla; Bovidae
Description: lncRNA (ENSCHIG00000001320.1)
Source: RNAcentral